This 19-nucleotide small nuclear RNA is filed under the name Arabidopsis thaliana (thale cress). RNAcentral describes it as "snRNA_01404". The record is from RNAcentral. Lineage: Eukaryota; Viridiplantae; Streptophyta; Magnoliopsida; Brassicales; Brassicaceae.
CCUGUCGCACCACGAGGCG